UUCGGAGACGGUAUGACAGGUGCUGCAUGGCUGUCGUCAGCUCGUGCGUGAGGUGUUGGGUUAAGUCCCGCAACGAGCCGCAACCCCUAUCUUUAGUUGCCAUCAGUUCGGCUGGGCACUCUAUGGAGACUGCCACCUAAAGUGGAGGAAGUGGGGAUGACGUCAAGUCAGCAUGGCCCUUACUCCGGGGCUACACACGUGCUACAAUGGCCGGUACAAAGGGUUGCGAAGCCGUGAGGUGGAGCGAAUCUCAAAAAGCCGGCCUCAGUUCGGAUUGGAGGCUGCAACUCGCCUCCAUGAAGUCGGAAUCGCUAGUAACCGCAGAUCAGCUACGUUGCGGUGAAUACGUUCCCGGGCCUU
RNAcentral lists this ribosomal RNA (360 nucleotides) under uncultured bacterium. Its description in RNAcentral is "bacterial SSU rRNA". It matches the Rfam family "Bacterial small subunit ribosomal RNA", at positions 1019 to 1382 of the family's 1533-position model. The record is from RNAcentral.